This is a non-coding RNA of Acanthosepion pharaonis, 99 nucleotides long. NCBI's taxonomy places the organism in Eukaryota, Metazoa, Mollusca, Cephalopoda, Sepiida, Sepiidae. The record is from the annotation of a GenBank genome assembly.
CGUUGAAAAACCGGUUCCCAUUGAAUCACCGAAGUUAAGCAAUGUCUGGCUUGGUCAAUACUUAGAUGGGCAACUCUUGGGAAUACCAUGUGCUGUAAU